AUGGCUACUUGCUUAUCUGAUCUAAUUAGAGAUUAUUGUCUAGACUUUGUUGGUAUUCAGGAAACAAUGAAGAAGGAUUUUUCCUCCAAAUUCUUGAGGAAAAUUGAUCCAGGGCAGUAUUUUGAUUGGAGGUGGAUCCCUUCAAUAGGCAAAUCUGGGGGAAUUCUUUGUGGUACUAAGGAUGAUACUUUUGAGGUUAGAUCCUGUGUGACAGGUAAAUACAUCAUGAAGCUUGACUUGUGGGAUAAGAGGAAAAAAAUGCUAUACUGUAUUAUGGUUGUGUAUGGUUCGGCUCACGAAGAGUAUAAAAUGGAAUUUUUGACAGAGAUGUCUAAUAUGUGUGGCACCACUACUUGCCCUUACAUUGUGGGGGGAGACUUCAAUAUUCUUAGAUAUGCUAAGGAGAAAAAUAAGAAAACCAGAAUGAGUCAUGCUACUGAUCUCUUCAACUCUAUCAUUAAUACAUUCGGUCUAAGGGAAAUUGACAUGAAUGGUGGUAUAUACACUUGGUCUAAUAAUCAACAAAUGCCUACCCUUGAAAAAUUGGACCGUAUACUUAUGUCCAGUUCUUGGGAAAGGCAAUUUCCUUUGACCUUUGUCAGGAAACUAACUAGAGAGAUUUUAGAUCAUAGUCCUUUAAUCUUGAAUACU
This 651-nucleotide ribosomal RNA is filed under the name Triticum aestivum (bread wheat). Its description in RNAcentral is "partial small subunit ribosomal RNA". The record is from RNAcentral. Lineage: Eukaryota; Viridiplantae; Streptophyta; Magnoliopsida; Poales; Poaceae.